This 604-nucleotide long non-coding RNA is filed under the name Gossypium barbadense (sea-island cotton). RNAcentral describes it as "long non-coding RNA (GBAR_LNC015987)". The record is from RNAcentral. Lineage: Eukaryota; Viridiplantae; Streptophyta; Magnoliopsida; Malvales; Malvaceae.
UACAAACGAUGGGACAGUGGAUUACAAAGGAAAUCCUGCUAAUAAGAAGAAAACUGGAACCUGGAGAACCUGCCCGUUUAUCAUAGGUAAUCACGGAACCUAGUAGUUGAAAUCUGUGAUUAAAGAUAUAUCAAGAUUGAUGUUUAGUUUAAGCAUUCUAUCAACAGGAAAUGAAGUCUGUGAAAGAUUGGCAUAUUAUGGGAUGAGCACCAAUCUGGUGCUUUACUUUAAGCACCAGCUAAAUCAGCAUAGCUCAGUGGCUGCUACUAAUAACCAGAACUGGGGUGGAACAUGCUACAUUACACCAAUAAUUGGAGCAUUUCUGGCUGAUUCUUAUCUAGGAAGAUAUUGGACAAUUGCCUGUUUUUCAAUCGUCUAUAUCAUUGUAAGUUUUACUUACCUGGUGCUUGUUAUUUAGUCCAGUAUUACCAAGUUCUUCGAAAAAUUUAUCUAUAUCUUGGUUUUUGAGACAAGAAAAGUUUUACCUUUUGCACAGGGAAUGACGCUUUUAGCUUUGUCUGCAUCAGUUCGCGGCAUAAGGCCGAGAUGCUAUGCAGAAGAUAACUGCAAUCCAACUGAGGUGCAAAGCGCGAUGACCUUUCUA